This 253-nucleotide ribosomal RNA is filed under the name uncultured bacterium. RNAcentral's name for it is "partial 16S ribosomal RNA". It matches the Rfam family "Bacterial small subunit ribosomal RNA", at positions 524 to 776 of the family's 1533-position model. The record is from RNAcentral.
UACGAAGGGGGCUAGCGUUGUUCGGAAUUACUGGGCGUAAAGCGCGCGCAGGCGGCCUUCCAAGUCAGUGGUGAAAGCCCGGAGCUCAACUCCGGAACUGCCAUUGAAACUGUUAGACUUGAGGAUGAGAGAGGUGAGUGGAAUUCCCAGUGUAGAGGUGAAAUUCGUAGAUAUUGGGAAGAACACCAGUGGCGAAGGCGGCUCACUGGCUCAUUACUGACGCUCAGGCGCGAUAGCGUGGGGAUCAAACAGG